Molecule: long non-coding RNA, 1648 nt
Organism: Musa acuminata AAA Group (dessert banana)
Lineage: Eukaryota; Viridiplantae; Streptophyta; Magnoliopsida; Zingiberales; Musaceae
Exons: 4
Source: RefSeq, a predicted model, not a curated record
UGCUCGCGAUACGCCCCUGUUUCCGCCGCUCUGGAACCCUCCCCUGCAUUCCUUUUCUUUGUUUCGCUUCGCCCUCUGCUUCGAUCUUUUCCCGUUCUUGUUCCGUUUUCUGACGCAGAUUCCUUUUCGUGUUCUUUCUUUGUUCCAUGUUCUUGUUUGAUCUUGUGACGUAGGGUCGUUGGUCUGUUUUUUAUUGUUCUUUUUCGAAUCUUUUCUUGUUCCGACGCAGAUUCCUUUUCGUGCUCUUUCUUUGUUCCAUAUACUUGUUCGAUCUUGUGACGCAGGGUCGUUGGCCCGAUUUUUCUUGUUCUUGUUCGAAUCUUUUGGCGCAGAUUUCUCUUCGUGUUCUUUCUUCUUCUUGUUCGAUCUUUGACGCAGGUCCUUCUCGUGAUUUAUUCCUGUUCUAUUCGAUCAUUUGGCGUAGAUUCUAAGGUUCCGCAGAUCGGAAGAGACUGCGAGGUUCUUGAGGGAUUCAGAUGGCGGUGGCGUCGAGGCUGGUUCUUGAUGGGAACCCGAUCAGGCCAGCCACGAUCUGUUUGAUCGGGGCCGGGAGUUCAUCGGAUCCCACCUAUGCGAGAAACUGAUGGCGGUGACGCUCCACAGCGACAAGAUCAAGCAACUCCUCGGUCCGCCGCCAGAGGGGUAGCAGUAGGCGCGCACCACCCUUGGGACUUCCAGAUCCACUUCCACCGCCUCAUCAUCAAGCACGUCUCCAUCUGGUUUUCCUUCCCCUUUUCAAGAUCCUGUUUCGGAUACCCUGCAUUGCCUCCAUGUCCCGCUCUACCAUUUGAUCUUUUCUUAGUGAACUAUUCUCUUUCUCGACGCGUCGUCUACUUCUAUGAGCGGAUCCGCAUUCCUGUCACCACGUUUUCUUUGUUGCACGAGAAAUCCAAAUCUUGAAUUAGUUCUUGUGCACAACUUCUUUUCCCAUAGAGAUGACCAACGUAACUAACUGCAUUGACGCUCGUCCAGUUGGAAGCUGUGGGAUUUCUUGGUCCCUUCUCUUACAUUUAGGUUUUACCGUGGCUUAUUUAUUUUGUGAUUGCUUGACGUUUGGUGGUUGUUCAGGUCAUGUAUUGCUUAGAUAGCGACAAGCGCCUGAUUCGCUUCACCACUUGUGAAGUCUAUGGGACAGAAACUGGAAGCCUCCUUUCCAAGGAUCAUCCUCUAAGCAAGACCAUCUAAAGCUGAGGGUGCAGAGCAUUGUCUGGAGUUCACCAUUGUGAGCCAUGGCAAGGGAUUUCCUAGAAUUUGGCAUGAUUCAGCAAUGUGCCUGUGAGGGACGUGCGAGUCUCAAGGAAUUCUGUGGUAAAGGAUAUGUGGACAUUGAUAAGCAGAUUGCCAACGUGAUCGUAAUCAUUAAGGAACUUUGGUUGGAACGCGCAAGACAUACCUGUGGGACAUUCUGGAAUUGACACUGAUCUAUUGGCAGCCAACAAGAGAGGGUGCGUCGGUCCGCAAAAAGCAUUCUGUUAUCUUUUCCGUUGAUUAGCGUCGAUGAUUCAAAUCCUGUUGACUCGUUGUUGUGUCCUCUGGAAGUGGUUUUAUAUGCCAUGUUACCGGUGUGGUAUUACCCAUGGCCCGCCACAUAUACAGAGCAUUCUGUUCCAUGUUCUAUUAUCCAUCUGCUAAUUCAUGAACUUAGUCA